UACGUAGGUGUCGAGCGUUUGUCCGGGAUUUAUUGGGCGUAAAGAGCCCGCAAGGCGGCUUGGCAAGUUUGAGGUGAAAUCUCCCGGCUUAACUGGGAGGGGCCUCGAAAACUGCCAGGCUUGGAGGCAUGGAGAGGGAUGCGGAAUUCCCGGUGUAGUGGUGAAAUGCGUAGAUAUCGGGAGAACACCAGUGGCGAAGGCGGCAUCCUGGCCAUGUCCUGACGCUCAGGGGCGAAAGCGUGGGGAGCAAACCGGG
Molecule: ribosomal RNA, 256 nt
Filed under: uncultured bacterium
Lineage: Bacteria
Description: partial 16S ribosomal RNA
Rfam family: Bacterial small subunit ribosomal RNA
Source: RNAcentral